UACAGAGGGUGCUAGCGUUGUUCGGAAUCAUUGGGCGUAAAGGGCGUGUAGGCGGUUUGUUAAGUCAUGUGUGAAAGCCCCCGGCUCAACCGGGGAACGACGCAUGAAACUGGCAAGCUAGAGUACCGAAGAGGGGGGUGGAAUUCCCGGUGUAGCGGUGAAAUGCGUAGAUAUCAAGUGGAACACCAGUGGCGAAGGCGAGUCUCUGGACAUUUCCUGACGCUGAGGCACGAAAGCCAGGGGAGCAAACGGG
Molecule: ribosomal RNA, 253 nt
Filed under: uncultured bacterium
Lineage: Bacteria
Description: partial 16S ribosomal RNA
Rfam family: Bacterial small subunit ribosomal RNA
Source: RNAcentral